Molecule: ribosomal RNA, 425 nt
Filed under: uncultured bacterium
Lineage: Bacteria
Description: partial 16S ribosomal RNA
Rfam family: Bacterial small subunit ribosomal RNA
Source: RNAcentral
GUGGGGAAUAUUGGGCAAUGGGCGAAAGCCUGACCCAGCAACGCCGCGUGAAGGAAGAAGGUUUUCGGAUCGUAAACUUCUAUCCUUGGUGAAGAUAAUGACGGUAGCCAAGAAGGAAGCCCCGGCUAACUACGUGCCAGCAGCCGCGGUAAUACGUAGGGGGCAAGCGUUGUCCGGAAUGAUUGGGCGUAAAGGGCGCGUAGGCGGCCCGGUAAGUCUGAAGUGAAAGUCUUGCUUUUAAGGUGGGAAUUGCUUUGGAUACUGUCGGGCUUGAGUGCAGGAGAGGUAAGCGGAAUUCCCGGUGUAGCGGUGAAAUGCGUAGAGAUCGGGAGGAACACCAGUGGCGAAGGCGGCUUACUGGACUGUAACUGACGCUGAGGCGCGAAAGUGUGGGGAGCAAACAGGAUUAGAAACCCGGGUAGUCC